GCCUGGGUGGCUCAGUUGGUUAAGCGUCCGACUUCGGCUCAGGUCAUGAUCUCGAAGUUCGUGGGUUUGAGCCCCACGUCGGGCU
This is a non-coding RNA of Felis catus (domestic cat), 85 nucleotides long. The record is from Rfam. NCBI's taxonomy places the organism in Eukaryota, Metazoa, Chordata, Mammalia, Carnivora, Felidae.